Nymphaea colorata (pocket water lily) is the source of this 2561-nucleotide RNA transcript. It is a transcript of the gene named U-box domain-containing protein 30-like, with no coding region annotated. Lineage: Eukaryota; Viridiplantae; Streptophyta; Magnoliopsida; Nymphaeales; Nymphaeaceae. The record is from RefSeq and is a predicted model, not a curated record. The transcript is spliced from 2 exons.
ACAGGGUAGGAGCAGAGCAGGCCUUCCGCCUUUGCAGUCUUUCUUGGAAAGAGUUGGUCUCAUCUUGGCCACACUGGUGUUCUCCUUUUAGCCUUUUCUUGAUCCCACGGGGUCUCUCCUACACUUCGUAGAGAAGACUUCGUUUCAGAAGCAGGGUCUUUUCCGUUUUCUUUGUUUUGUUCCCCUUUUUCCCUUUCCUCUUCGACCUUGUUUGCACGAGGAACGAGUGAAUGCAAGUGAUUUUUCCUGUAGUGGAACUUGAUGGUGCUGUUGGCUUUUUGAGGUGGGUUUCUAGUCUUCUUUUUACUCUCUCUCUCUUUUCAUCUUGGCUGUUCCAUGAAUGGCCCAUCAUCUCGGCUUCCUUCAUGUGGAUUUUUUGGGUGACUGGACCGUGAUGGGUACUGCCUUUUUCGCACAUUGUUGAUGACGACUGAUUCUAUACGCUUUGAUGUGGCUGUGAAUGGUCAAUGAAUGACUUUGUUCCUCUUGCGCCCUCCCCACAUUUUGUCUGCUUUUCCAUGACGCAGAUGGGCGGAUCAAUCUAUCGCAUGGUUUCUUAGUUUCUUACGGGUGCGGCUUUGUUGGAGACUCUGUUUCUGGUUGUUGGAUUGUGGAAGAUGACAAUGCUUCAGUUGUCCUCUUGGAGGAGAGAUGGUGAGGUUGCUAACAGUGUGUUGGAUCUAGAUUGUGGUACUGUGAUCAGUAAGGAUGAGAUUCCAUGUGGUGAAAAGGUGGAUUUGGGAAUGAUGAUUGAGGAACUGGAAGGCAUUGAGGUGCCUACUGUGUUCAUCUGCCCCAUUUCGCUGGAUCCCAUGCUGGACCCUGUGACCCUCUGCACUGGUCAGACAUACGAGAGAUGCAACAUCUUGAAGUGGCUCUCCAUGGGGCACUUCAUCUGCCCUACCACAAUGCAGGAGCUUUGGGAUGACUCCGUCACUCCCAACAGGACCCUUUCUCAGCUUAUUUACAGUUGGUAUUCUCAGAAGUAUGUGUUGCACAAGAAAAGGUCUGAGGAUGUGCAGGGCAGGGUGACUGAGCUGCUGGAAGCCCUCAGGAAGGUCAAGGGGCAGGCGAGGAUUCAGGCCCUCAAGGAGCUUCACCAAGUUGUCGCUGCCCAUGUGUCCGCCAAGAAGGCGGUGGCUGACGAGGGCGGCAUUGCGCUGGUGUUGUCUCUUCUUGGCCCUUUCACUUCUCAUGCAGUUGGCUCGGAAGCCAUCGCCAUUCUGGUGAACUUGGAUCUUGAUUCGGAGGCGAAGACGAACCUGAUGCAGCCCGCGAAGUUCUCUUUGUUGGUGGAUAUGCUGAAUGAAGGGACAGUGGAGACGAAGAUUAGUUGCACCAGGCUGAUUGAGCUGAUGGUGGAUGAGAGGGAUUUCAGGUCAGAGAUGGUGUCCAGCCUCAGCUUGCUGGUUGGUUUGCUUAGACUGGCAAAAGAUAAAAGAUACCCGAACGGCAUUGCUGCAGGCCUUCGCUUGUUGAAGACUGUCUGCUCAUAUAAGCAGGUUAAGAUUUUGGUUGUUAGCAUAGGAGCAGUAUCUCAGUUGAUGGAUCUCUUGUCGUGUUUGAAUUCGGAGGUUUUGGAGGAUGUCCUUUUCAUACUUGAACUACUCUCUUCGAUACCAGAAGGGCGGACAGCCCUGAAGGAUUGCCCUUGCACAAUACAGAAUCUAGUGAGGCUACUUAUGAGAGUUUCAGAAAAUUGUACUCAAUAUGCUCUAUCAAUCUUGUGGGAAGUUUGUAUGCUAGCUCCAGAGGAGUGUGCCUCUCUUGCUGUGGAGGCUGGAUUGGCGGCAAAGCUUCUGCUUGUGAUACAGAGUGGUUGUAACCCGGUAGUGAAGCAGCGAUCUGCAGAGCUGCUGAAGCUAUGCAGUCUUAACUACACGGCGACCAUUUUCAUUUCCAAGUGCAAACUUACGAGAACAAUGCAGUGAGGAUUUCUCGGUGUUUUGACAGCAAGUUGGCCUUUACCAUGUCUGUUCUUGGAGACUGUGAAUUGAUCUGCACCCGUGAAGCGUUUGUGUGUGACGAAAUGGUAAGAAGGCCCCCGUUACCAUGAGGAUGGUCGCUGCCCUGCUUCUGCUUCUCUUGCGAGGUGAGUUUUCUGCUGUGCUUCUUGUUGGAUUGGUGAAGUAUUGUAAAUUAGUUCAUGGAUGGGAUUAAGGGGAAGGACAGGUGCACUCUACCAUGUGGAAGAACGGAAGAGCUAUGAUAAAGACAGCAUGAUAAUUCAAAAUAAAAACAAGAAAGCAUUGAAGCUUUGCAGUAAAAUAACUGUGGUUCUUAUUUGUUAUCCAACAGAAAGUUGGUCAACUGAUGAGCAUUUCAUCAAUAUAAUCCUCGCCUGGGGACAUUUCCUUCGAAGCUGUGCCUUUCCAAAUCUGAAAUGCCUUCCUGGCCAACAAUGAUGCUGUGGUCGUCCAUUCGGGGUUGUGUUCCCAAAAUUUUAUAGUAAAGACUGUAAAGGAAUUCAGAUCCUUUGCGUUGUAUCUCUCUGUAGAGUUGAGGCACUAAUGAUGCCAUUAUUCAGCUUGAGUUUUUGCUGAACUCAUGAAUUGAAAAGU